RNAcentral lists this long non-coding RNA (10766 nucleotides) under Sorghum bicolor (sorghum). RNAcentral's name for it is "long non-coding RNA (SBIC_LNC011390)". Lineage: Eukaryota; Viridiplantae; Streptophyta; Magnoliopsida; Poales; Poaceae. The record is from RNAcentral.
GUAUAUACAAACCUUUGGAAUGACCCUUCUUUUGCUAAUUCUCUAUAUGCCACAUGCCCACCAUCUUCAAAACUUGAGGCUGCUAACAAAUCAAAGCUAGUGUUGCAUGCAUGUAAAUGUGUACGUCAGGAUAACGAAACUAGACAUCAACCUAAAUGAAAUAGAUUACCUGAUCUAUCGGAGCUAAUGAUAUUGCUACACAUUGCUACCCAAAUCACCAAACCCUAACCACACUGAAUCCUAGCAAUCCCAAGCAAAUGAACCAAAUCAGGGGGAAACAAAGGAGGUACCCGCUAGGAAUGUCUUCAAGUCAUGGAAGAGACAAUCAGGGGAGGAAUGGGUUUGAUCUAGGCAGAGCCACCAUUUUCGCUCCUAUGAGCUAGUUGGGAAGAGGAGAGUGAAGUGAGAGGAGGAAAAAGGUAUGUAUAUGCGACUGAGUCACCCCGAAGUUCCUGGCGCAACUUAGUGACACUAAUGGGUAUGGUGGGAAGCCUUCGGUCGUGUCAAUGCAUGUGGCGCCACUUAGUUAUGAGUUGUAUAAGUGUUUUGUUGCGACCAAAAGGACUAGUUCUUGGAAAUUUAGUUCAAGAUGGCUAUUAUUAAAAUAUUAAUUUUUUGGGGGAUGUGGGGCAAAAACAUUGAUUAGGGGACUAUUAUUUUAUUAUAUUCAUUAUCAACUUCUUUCCAGUAGAAAGCUCCAUUUUUACAAUUUCAAUCAUGGGGUCAAUAGUUAUUUAUCCAAGCGCUAGGAGGCUAGGAUGCAUGUUUAAGACAACUAUAGAAAAUUAUAAUAAGGAACAACAUUCAUGAUUCAAUAAAUAAAAACAAUAACAGUUCAAUUUAUAGAGUGAGCGCUCUCACCAGAUAGCAUAUCUUGUUUUUUUUUCUUUUGAGAGGUGCUUAGAGGUGGCGAAGGUGCCAAGGCUAAGGGGUGUUUGGUUGGGGUGUUAAAGUUUAACAUGUACUGUAGUAUUUUUAUUUUAUUUGAUAAUUAGUAUCCAAUCAUUGACUAAUUAGGUUCAAAAGAUUCGCCUCGCAAAUUACUCUCUAGCUAUGUUUUUAGUUUUCUAAAUAGUCUAUAUUUAGUACUUAUGCAUGUAUCUAAAUAUUCGAUGUGACGAGCGGUAAACUUAGCAAGAGCAACCAAAUGGAGCCUAACAAGAAGAGUAGCCGAGAAAGCUGAUGAACAAAACCAAGCCGCAAAAAUCUAAACGGAAUAAUCAUUGGGGGCUCCUCCUUUGAAAUCAAAGGUGAGCAAAACCUGGGGAUAGAAAACCCAAACCCCCCACUAAAAACUAGAAUGAUAAUUUUUUAAUAAGGGAUAUAUAAAUAUCCGGCCUCUAUAUCUAGAGAUUUACACAACCAAUUAUUACAACGUUUGAGAUAAAAAAAGAGGAGAAAAAGCAAGUCAUGGUCUUAAACAUUGACCAGAAAAUUAAAGCAAACAAUAAAUAUGUUUCCAUCUUUUAUUAGAUAUCUCUAAAGCAAUUGUGUCCAAUCUCUUGCUUAUCGAUGUGAAGAUAUCCUUGGCAUGCUCAUCACGCUGUAGCGGGGCCCAGAAACGGAGCUAAUAUGCUCCCCUAAAAAUAACCUGUAUAAUGAAGUUAGAUAAUUAAAAUGAUAUCUCCAUAGAUUACUUACCAAGGGAAAAGUCCGAAUCCUCCAGAGAUUUUGGAGUUUCUAAGUUAGGCCUUGUUUAGCUUAAAAUUUUUUGGAAAAACAACACUGUAGUAUUUUGUUUUUAUUUGACAAAUAUUGUCUAAUCAUAGAGUAACUAGGCUUAAAAGAUUCGUCUCGCAAUUAACUAUAUAAUUAGUUUUUGUUUUUAUUUAUAUUUGAUGUUUAUACAUGUGCCGCAAGAUUCGAUGUGACGGAAAAUCUUGAAAAGUUUUGGUUUUUUUUUUAACUAAACAAGGCCGGUCUGGUUUUUUUCCCGCUGCGAUCACAUCACAGCAUUUUUUUUUCUUUUUGAUAAGUCAUCACAUAUUCACAUCACGACUUAUCGCUGUAUGGAAGUUUCAGUCUGACUGCGCCACUGAAAUGCUGAAAGUUCGGUUCUUUGUUGACGGAAGUACAGGUCACUUGAUUAUCUUGGACCAGUUAUUAGCCUGCAUGUUUAGAUGGACUAAGACUAUUUUUAACUACUACUUAUUACACAGCUCUAGUUCAAAGCUGGAUCAAGUAAUAGUUUGCGAGCUUAUUCGCUUGUCUGAAAAGUCACAGAGUGAAAGUAAUGUUUGCUGAUUUAUAUAAGAGAAAAACAGUUGAAUGACAGAUUCAGCAAACAAACUCAAGCGAACAGACUUGAAUCCUCUAAUGCUCCAGGAUACUCUUCAAAGCAAUCAUGGAUGCUUAAUUAGGUGUCUUCAAAAUUCCAAAAGUUUACAAGAUUUUUUAUCACAUCGAAUCUUUUAACGCAUGCAUGAAGCAUUAUAUAUAGACAAAAAAAUAAUUAAUUGCACAAUUUAUCUAGUCUAUGGUUGAAUAAUAAUUAUUAAAUAAUUCAAAAACACUACCGUAUCAAACUUUAAAAACUUUUAGUAUCUAACAAGGUGUAAGAUAGCCGACAAGAAAUGCGAUCGACAAGGGAGCGGGUCAGUAAUCACCGCACUUUAUGAGAAGACAUUGACAUGCAAGAACGGCAGCUUGCUCAUGGAUCCUGCCAGGAUUCUACAGGAGGUGACAUGUCACACGUGCCUCUCAGCAGCUGCCAAACUUAACUUGUCAAGCUUCCUGCUUUCAUAUGUGAUUGUUAUACUUCCUAAGAGAAACUAAUUCUAAAAAAAAUUUGAAACUGAUAUACAGUAUCAGGUAAAUCCGAUGAAUCUAUCCGUAGUGCAGAACCACUUGACGAAAUGCAGGGGUUAGAGCUAGCUCCAAUAGGAAACGGUAGCUUGUCAGACCUCUCCUUUCACACACCUUGCGAAACUAGUCUUUGCCCUAAUCAUCAACAUGAUGCAACAAGUGGAACAUGUCGAUUUCAGUGGGACUCUGACUAAAAUGAUUGAGCUGCAUAUCUAUCUCCAUAUAUAUAGCUGAAGAAAGAAUCGCGCUCUGUUAUUAUCCAGUUAAUCGAGUCCGUCAAUUAGCGUUUUUUUUUCUUCAGAAUGUAUUCCUUUGCCAUGGACAAAAACGUUUCAACCACCUGUGUGUGUCCAUGUGUCAUGUGUGCAUAUGCAUCGAGUGAUUGUGGCAUUUCCUUGAAUUAAACCUUCGUCUUAUCAAGUUGGUUUAGCUACCAUUGUCCUUGGCGUCUGGUUUGCCACCACUAUAUUCACCAUCUGCUAACUUCACGGCCAUGCAUCCUCACCCAUUUCUGACGUCACCACAACUCUCAUCAUCAUCAAACCUGAGUAUUUGGUGGGCUAGGCUGGCAAAAAAAAGCACGGGUUUUUAGGCCUUGUUUAGAACCGAAACUUUUUGGAUUUGAAUAUUAUAGCAUUUUUAUUUGUAUUUGAUAAUUAUUGUUCAAUCAUGGACUAACUAGAUUUAAAAGAUUUGUCUCGCAAAUUACAGGCAAACUAUGCAAUUAGUUUAUUUUUUAUCUAUAUUUAGUACUCCAUGCAUGUGUUCGCAAGAUUCAAUGUGAUGGAAAAAAUCUUUAAAAAAAUUGAACUUCAGGUGUAACUAAACAAGGUCUUAAUCGAAUUUUCAUAUCCAGUAAUGUCCAAUGGGCGAGGGCAGACAUCUGCUUUCUAGCUAGGCCAAUGUUGUGGUGGCCCCCACUCAUUUUAGUUAAAAAAAAUAAAUAGUUCAAACCAAGAAAAAAAUAGUGAGCUUACUUCACCAUGUCUAGGUUGUGUCCAAUAAUAUAUGUGGGCCAAGGCAAGCCUGGCGGGCUUAGGAUGGCUAGGUCUGUUUUGCUUAAGUUAGCUAAUGACACAUCAUUGCCUUGUUCCUCCACCCUAGCUCCUAUCUCCGCCUCUGGCAUGGUUGCCUCCCUAGAACCCCUUUCUAAGGACACCAAGCAUAAUAUGACCCAACAACACCCUCAAACCCAAAGGGGUUGCCUACAAUGUGGAGAGCAUCUUCUGAAAUCAAGAUUGAUUUUUAGGCACAUGUAGCAUAAGAGAUGUGUAAAAAAAAUAUUUACACUAAAUGCUUCAAAAUAGUACACUCUGAGCUCACCAAGACUAUGCAUACACUGUACAGGAUCAUAUAGCAAUGGUCAUUGUCUAGUUCUAUGUACAUGAAAAAAAAAGAGCUAUGGUUAAUGGAUAAGACAAUCAUAUAUGCUAGGAGAACCCCAGUAGGGGGGCACCAUAAUAACUCCAAAGUCCAAGGUUUGCCUGAGUUGGACCUCUAGAGGAUCUCUUAAGGCUCUGACUACUAAGGGGAGCCCUAAGUAGCGCAAGGAUCUCAUUGGGUCUCCGAAAGCAAACCUAUGCCAAGACAUUGAGCCAUGGGCUCUAGAGUCCUACUUAUCCCUUAAGAAAUAGGGAGGGACGAAGAACUAGCAAUCGAUGUUUACAAGUAGGUCACCACUCACCACCCCCUACUAUGAGUUAACCAAUGACAUAAUGGCGUGUUGAUCACUAUUGGAAAGGUCGUCUCGAUCAGGAUUGAAAGGAAAUAACCUUGCAACCCUUGAAUAAUAUAACAAAGAAAUAGUGGUGAUGGUGGUGGUAAAUAGAGUGGCAUAAUCAUAGAGAAGGUUUGUGAUGGUUCCUAGUAGACGCAGGCAAAUUUGGCUUGGUAUGUGGCAUCAAUAGCACCGGGCUUGGGCAGAGUUAGCCAAUACCAAAAGACCCAUCUUGAAACUAUUAUAGUACCAAUUAGGCUUUUUUGUCUAUACCAGGCGGACCUACCAGGUCCGGUAAAAAGUACUUAUAUCUAGACACAUAAUUUUGACCGAAGUAUUCUUUUGUCUACCUUAGCUUGACCCACAAAAUACCCAAAGUGUAAUUCCUACUAUAUCAGUUUCCAAAAUUUUAGGUUUUUGGGCACUGUAGUACUUUCGUUUCUAUUUGACAAACAUUAUCCAAUCAUGGACUAACUAAGUUCAAAAGGUUCAUCUCGUAAUUUAUAGGCAAACUGUGCAAUUAGUUUUUGUUUUCAUCUAUAUUUAAUACUUCAUGCAUGUGCCGCAAGAUUCGAUGUGAUAAAAAAUCUUGAAAAUUUUUGCAAAGUAAACAAGGCCUAAAAUGAAAGGACAUGUGCAAAUACUUUUUGAUUAAAAAAAAGAGAGAGGUGACUAAUAGAUUUGACUGAAACCUGUAGUCCAUGAGUCCAUAAGUGUACUCUGCGGGAGAGCGGGGCCGGUCCAUUCUGAGGGUGAAAAAUCAUUUAAAAAUAUAUGUCUCUACCUUAUUAUUUAAUGUUUGGAUCGAUAUAUAUGAUGCCCAAGGACCAAGGUGCCUACUGCGUAGAGUCCCUUGUUCAUCAGCAAGAAGUGUCAGAAAACAGCCGGCGACACAGUUGAGGCAGAAGAAGCUUCUCUCGUCCUGGUGUUUGAGUUUCAGUAGGCAGCAUGGCGCAUGCUCAAGAAAUUCAGCUCCAGAUCAGAGGUACUAAAAUCAUUUGCCUUCUCUUCUUCCUGGUUGCUUUUGUUGUGCCUUAUCAUGUGUAGAUUUUAAAAACAAUUCUUGAAUUUCCAGAGUGGUUCUUUCAUGUGCCUGUUUUCCCCCCUGAUUGGAGAGUUCUACUUCUAUGUUCAUGCAUGGUUGGAAACUGCUCAUCCUUGAAUUAUUGAUGCAUCUGAAAGGUCCAGCUUAGACUGUUCUUGUACAGUCUGCUUUGCCGUCCUGAGCUAGCAAAGAUUGUAGGAAACAACGUUCUGGCAGUAGGGGCUUCGGCCCCUCUAGAUUCGUCAAAAAAAACAAUGUUCUGGCAUUGAGAUACUCUCCCCUCAAGAUCUCAAUCUUUUUCUUUUUAUAAGUUGGCCAGUUAAAAAUGUUUCUUUAAAAAAAAAGAAAAAAGAAAACAGAGUAGCUUUCCGCCUGUCACUGAAAAAAUAUAAAUAUAUAAACUACAGUACAGCAAUUCCUGCAUGGUCCACCCUAUCACCAUUGAAUUCGGUAGUUGAUUGGUGAAAGCAUACUGAAACGGGAAGUAUUCAGUAUUAACCUAGCCAUGUCGUAUUAAUACUGCACGAGGUCGUGAGGGGGAUUGUUCCACCAAGAAAUAAAUGGAGAAAUAAUAAUAAAUUUUGAUUGAUUCUUCUCUUCUCUUUUAUUUGUCCAGCUGAUUAACUGAAAACUUUAAUGUGCGACUGUAGAGAUUGAAAAAAUAUUUUGAUUUAAAAAACGAUUACUGCUGGUGUCAGAUUGACUGAAACGAAAAAAUUAUCUCUCGCAAAAGCAGAUCCAGUGCUCAUUUUACAUUUUAUAUGUUGGUACCAAAUUUGCUUCUUUUUCGUUUCCAUUAUUGCAGUACUCCGUCCGUAGUACUACUAACUAUACGACCGCAUCUUUGUUUUCUUUUCGUUGUAAUUGCACAAGGCAUUCCGGACAAGGAAUCCGUCCACGAAGACGCCGGUGAUGAACCCAAGGCCGACACGCGGUGGUCCACGAGAGUCAGCUUCCGAUGGUGGAUGACAGUGGUGGUGGACAUGCUCAUGGUUCUCUGUGGGACGACCGUGGCCACCCUCCUUGGCCGCCUGUACUACAACUCCGGCGGCAACAGCAAGUGGAUGGCCACUCUCACGCAGUCUGGUGGUUCGCCGCUUCUGGUCGUCCCGCUCCUCAUGACGCCGGCGUCCUCAGCGGACGAGCGCCGGCCGCCGGCGUCCAAGAUGUUUGCCGUGUACGCGGGCGUCGGGGUCAUGAUCGGCUUCGACAACCUCAUGUACUCGUACGCGCUGCAGUACCUGCCGGUGUCCACCUUCUCGCUCGUGGCCGCGACGCAGCUGGGCUUCAACGCCAUCACCUCGCGCCUCAUCAACGCGCAGCAGUUCACGGCGCUGAUCCUCAACUCCGUGGUCGUGCUCACCUUCUCCGCCGCGCUUCUCGGCGUCGGCUCCUCCUCCGACGAGACCUCCAGCGACGUGCCGCGCGGCAAGUACCCGGUGGGGUUCGUCCUCGUGCUGGCGGCCUCGGCGGUCUUCGCGCUCAUCCUGUCGCUCUUCGAGCUCAGCUUCGAGAAGGUGAUCCGGGUGCGGACGGCGCGGUGGGUGCUGCGGAUGCAGAUGUACACGAACCUGGUGGCGUCGGUGGUCUCCGUGGUGGGGCUGCUCGCGUCGGGGGACUGGCGGACGAUCCCGGGGGAGAUGGCGUCGUUCAAGGACGGGAGGGCGAGGUACGUGCUCACGCUGGUGGGCACGGCGGUGUCUUGGCAAGCGGCGGCAGUGGGCGUGGUGCGGCUGAUCAUGAGGGUGUCGUCGCUGUUCGCCAACGUGACGUGCACGCUGGCGCUGCCGCUGGUGCCGGUGUUCGCGGUGGUGCUGUUCGGGGACAAGAUGACGGGCAUCAAGGUCGUGGCCAUGCUCAUGGCGGUGUGGGGGUUCCUCUCCUACAUGUACCAGCACUACAUCGACGGCCGGCGGGCCGGGAACGCCGAGUGCCGCGUCUGCGCCACACGCACGGCAAGCGACACGCUCUUGCCCGCCUGAGGCUGAUCAAUGCUUACAUAUAUUCUGGUAUGUGCACAACAGCACAAGGCAUACAUUCAAGUACCCAACGAUCUAUUGUAUUUGUAGUCUCUGCCAGUCUAUUGGAAUAAUAACGAAUAGCAAGAUGCCUAGAGAUAGCAAUCAUUUUAAGGAAAAAAAAAACAUGCAAACUAGGUAGCAUUUUAUUAAAAAUACUAAUAAAUUGUGAAAAUUUCAGUUUGCUAAAAUUUUUCUGUGUCCCCGUCUCGUCCAGAAUCGGUCCCUCCGUCCGUUUAACAGAGAAAAAGAAAAUAGAAUAUUUUUUAGGGUUUAGGAUUUAGUGUUUCUUCUUUACGUUUUCUAUCAGCUCUGGCCUUGGCCGUCCACUUGUAGAAGAAAAUGAUUUUUUUUUCAUAGUUCCCAAUACAAAAUCUUCUAUAUCCUAUUAUUUUUUUUCUUUUAUUCUUUAAUUUGGCUAAAAAUUAAUACAUACGUAGUAAUUCAUAGAAAAUCUAAAAAUUACAAAACAAAUUUUGUUCAGCUCUAUAUGUAGAUCCAUGAAGUAAACAAAAAAUAGGUGCAAAGUGUUUGUCCUAUUAAUUUAUUUUUCUUUUAUUCUUUAUAUCGGCUGAAAAUUAAUAAAUGUGUAGAAAUUCAUAGAAAAAUCUAAAAAUUACAAAACAGAAUUUGUUCAGCUCCACAUAUGUAGAUCCAUGUAGUAAACAAAAAAUAUCACAAAUUUUAGUUUUUUUUUUUGCUGAAGAUGCUUGCCUAUGCUUUUUAGUGUAAAAUUGAAAUUGUAGUUAUCUUGCUCCAAUUAUUAUAAAAAUUUUAUGGUAGCCUAUUUAAUGUGAUGCUUGAUUUGUGGUAAAAGUUUUAGCACCAUUCGUGCAUAUCUCACUGAUUUACUAAUUUACUAAAUUUAUGCUUGCUAAGUAGUUUAGCAUCAAUUUAAGUAUGUAAAAAUAUAAAAAAGAUGCUUCCACUACCUUUGCACAAUGUGUUGUUGUAUCAUAUGAACACUUCAUAAGCCCAUGUGUUUAUAGUCUACAUACAUUUAACUGAUAUAUCAUAUUUUAUAGGAAUCCUAAUCUAAAUAAAAAAAUAAAGCUAGCAACAAACUUCUCAUGUUUUAAUAUAAUACUAUUUUUAUUAUUAAAUAAAUAUGUCUCCAAGCUGCAUAAUAUUGUAAAUAUUAACUAUCUCAUACCAUAGAUGUCAUGGUUAUCAAUAAAAUAAACUAUGGACUUUAAAUUUUAUAAAAAAGAUAAAUAUAAAUAGAUAUGUAACAUUAUGUCAUCACUUUUUAUGAUCAUUUGAUGUUUUUCUCCCGUUGCAACGCACGGGCAUAUUUGCUAGUUAAAAAUAAAAAAAGACACCCAAAUUCGUCUUCGACGAGGACUUACCCUUGAAUAAUGAUCUAAGUAUACAUCCACACUCUCAACCAAUUAAACUAGGCCUUGUUUAGUUCCAUUUUUUUUUGGUUUUAGGUAUUGUAGUACUUUUAUUUUUAUUUGGCAAAUUAUUGUCCAAUCAUAGACUAACUAGGCUCAAAAAAUUCAUCUCGCGAUUUACAGGUAAACUAUGUAAUUAGUUUUUGUUUUCAUCUAUAUUUAAUGUCUAAUGCAUGUGUCGCAUGAUUCGAUAUGACGGGAAAUCUUGAAAAAAAAAUAGUUUUUGGUUGAACUCAACAAGGCCCUAAUUCAGCAUCCUAAGUCUAGUAAACACCCACCCACGUUCCUGUGUCCAUAAUCAUUGCCUUCCAAGGUACGGCCUGGCAAAAUUUAACUUUGGUUGUGCCUCCUUUUGCAGCAAGUACUAGGACUAGGGUCUGAUCCAACGUGUUGCUCUAAAGACAAUUUGUAAAUUAGAUUUGUAUUGAUGCUUGAGGUACUGAAAGUCUGAAUCAAUGGAGGUUAGAGCCAUAUAGUCGGUAGGUAAGUAGAUAGCUAGCGUCAACAACACGUACAGAUUGAUAGCUUGAUGCUAAGAGAGACUGGAUCUUGGAAAGGUUGUCAUGGAAUGGAACCGAAACUGGUGAACUCAAUUUUUCUAUUACACGAGCGAAACAACUUGGCUGUAAGAGAGACUAGACCUUGUACGUGCAAGAUUACGGUGAAUUUUUUUAAAAAAAUUGGGUAAACUAAACAAAACCUGAGUACCCAUUUGCCGAUGCGAAAGCCCUGAGUGGACGAUGGCCCCGCUGCACAAAGAUCUCAUGUACGUUGAAGAGUCCAUAUUAACAAUUCGUCUGGGCUUUUUACGAGUAGAUAUAUGAAGCCUUCGUAUCUGGCCCAACUCUUUAACUGGUUUCCAUAUGGGCCUAACGCAUUAACUGGUUUUGCCUAGCUAAGCCUCAAAGGCCCAUCAUCUACUAAGGCCUAGCUAAGUCUGUUAAUUGUGUGUUAAACCAAAGUACCAAACACAAUGGUGGGAGAAAAGCAGUCAAAAUGAAUGCCUGCGAUGCAAGGGAGAUGGCAUACUACCUCGUUCUUACGAGUAGUUCCUACCGAUGAAGCAGACUCGGGUCUGGUUUCUCUCGCUAAAUUUUAGCUAGUUAAGAUAAUGUUUGGUUGUUGGCCAUCAUCUACCACAACUAACUUUAGGUAAGUGUGGCAACUGGCAAACCACAAAAAGUGUGGCUAGCAAAUUGGUUGCCACACUUUACCAUAUCUAAAAGAAUCUUGUCACACUUUUUAACUCUAUGACGUGUGGAGCCUAAAAGAAUCAUGCCUAAACUUAGUUAUCAACCAAACACUUGCCUAAAGUAAAGUGCGGUAAACUGUGGCUAGCAACCAAACAACCCCUAAAUUUGUAAAAAAUACCAACUAAAAGGAGCUAAAAUAGUUUAGUUCUACUAAUCAUCUAAAAGUAGCUAGAAUAAUUCUAGCUGGCAAAUUUAGUAAGAGAAAACAAACCUUUAUCUUAGUCCAGCAGAAACGAGACGACAGCUGAGGCGGGCACGCAGAAGCAACUGCUUCGCGGCGUGCUCACUCCUCCUAUAUCCGAUCCGCCGCUACGAAAGACGUCUUCACGUAUACGAAGUGCUUCAUCGUACAUAUAUGGCACGGGCGCGUGCAAAAGUGCAAUGUGCAUGCAAUGCUGAUGCCUGAAAGACACCUAACGAGAUGUAUACUGCCAGCGCCGCUGACAAUAAUCGUUCAUCAAUGUUGAAAACGUCAGAAACUCUUGGAAGUCUUCCUAGUAGCAUAAAACUGACGAGAAGGUCGAUACAUAU